AUGGCAACUACAGUAGUGGUGGGUGUUUCUACCGGCGCCAUGAAACCCGUUCUUGAGAAGCUGGCCACUCUUAUGGGAAGCGAGUUCUCCAAGAUGAAGAACGUGCGGAAGGAUGUAAAGUUUCUCAGUGAUGAGCUUACGAGCAUGAAAGAUCUUCUUGAGAGACUUGCACUUGUGGACGACGAGCUAGAUCCACAAACCAAGAGAUGGAGAGACAAAGUAAGGGACAUGUCUUAUGACAUUGAGAACAUCAUUGAUGACUUCGGGCGAAAGAUUGUUGAGAAAAAUGAAAAGGGUGGGCUCGUCAAGAAGGCUGUUCGAUUCCUCAAAACUUUCAAUGCUCGUUACCAGAUUGAUGGGAUCAAGAAGCUAGUGCAUGAAACUAGUGACAGACGCAACAGGUAUCAGAUUGUUACUCCUCCACCAAACGAUGCGACUAUUGACCCACGAGUUGCCAUACUCCAACAAGAUGCAGCUAGCCUUGUCGGUCUGAAAGUGCCAAUCGAUGAGCUCGUCGGUUGGCUAAAUGACGAGGAGAUGCAUUUGAAGGUGGUAUCGAUUGUGGGAUUUGGAGGUCUGGGUAAAACAACACUUGCGAAUGACAUAUACCGUCAACCCGAUGGAGGAUUUGAAUGUCGCGCAUUUGUCCCGGUGACACAAAAGCAUAACAUCCCAAAACUUAUUCGUAGUUUACUAUCUGAACUUGGGAGUGAUGCAUGUUCUUAUGAUUGUGAAGUAAAUGUUCUUGUCAACAAACUCAAAGAAUAUCUAGAAAAAAAGAGGUACUUGAUUGUAAUUGAUGAUCUAUGGGAGAAAUUACCAUGGGAUAUUAUUAAAGGUGCUUUCCCAGAUAAUGGCGUUGGCAGCAGAGUAAUAACAACCACAAGAAUACAUGAUGUGGCUAAGGCAUGUUGCUCACAUCCUCGGGAUUAUAUUUUGGAAAUGAAGCCACUUAGCGAUGAAGACUCAAGAAGACUGUUCUUUAACAGGAUAUAUAACAAUGAACAAGCUUGCCCUCGCCAGUUUCGGGAUAUUUCUACUGAAAUUCUCAAAAAAUGUGAUGGUAUGCCACUUGCUAUUAUUACUAUAUCAGGCAUGCUAGCAUGUGAACGGUUUGACCAAGAGCAUUGGGAACAUAUACGAGAUUCUCUAGGUUCGGGAACAAAUUUCACGUUGGAAGGGAUGAGGAAAAUCUUAGAUCUCAGCUACAAGAACCUUCUUCCUCAUCUCAAGACAUGUUUGUUGUAUCUUGGUAUGUAUGCAGAGGACUUCGAAAUACCGAGGCAUCAUUUGGAACUUCAAUGGAUUGCCGAAGGCUUUAUUAGUAAAGAGAAUGGACAAGAUGUGGAGAAGAAUGCAAGAAGUUAUUUCAACGAGCUAGUCAACAGGAGUCUUAUUCAACCUAUAAGAUUUGACAACUGUGGAUUGGUCACACAUUGCAAAGUUCAUGAUAUGAUGCGUGAUCUUAUCUUGCAUAAAUGUGCAGAAGAGAAUUUUCUCACCAUAGUGGAUGACCCUCAAUCCAUCACAAAACUGGAUAACAAGGUCCGUCGACUGUCUGUCCACCUGGAUGAUGAUGAAAUUGAUGGAAUAAAGUUAUGGGGUAACAUUAGUCUGUCCCAUGUUCGGACUUUUAUGAUCUUUGGUGCGUAUAAGGGUAUGCCUCCUCUGCGAUUGUUCAGAUUCCUUCGAGUUCUACACAUUGAAAUUUAUGCAUAUGAUACUGUUGACCUCACUGGACUGUCUAACAUGUACCAGCUGAGAUAUUUAGGGGCUGGUGGUGGAUGCUCGGGGGUCGAGCUACCAACACAGAUCACAGGGCUGGGACACUUGGAAACACUUGAUGUACUACCCUUUUAUUUGCUUCAUCCAUUCGAUAUAUUUCAUCUACCAAGUCUGCUGUUCUUGAAUGUGGAUUGGCGUCUCGCUCGGACACCUUAUGGCAUCGGCAACAUGAAGUCCCUGCGAUAUGUAAAAGAAUUCGAUUUGAUGAAGAACUCACUAGAUAACAUCGAGAGUCUUGGAGAGCUACACAGUCUGAGAGUUCUAUCAGUAUACGGCUACCCGCCUGAUGCGACCAGCAUCAAGAGCCGCAUGGAUGCUCUGUGCUCUUCUUUGGGGAAAAACUGUAUCAGCUUGGAGUACCUGGGUUUGUAUAUCAAAGGCUGCAUGGAUGCCUUGAUGGACUUGUCACCUCCUCCUCGCCGCCUUGAGAGACUCUGGAUGGGUGAUAGGGUAGAAUAUUACUUUAGUGAGGGAUGUGAUUCUAUUGAUCAGCCGGCAGAACUGGGUGAGUGCAGCUCCGUUUUCAGGCUCCCUGGUUGGAUAUCAAAAGCGGAUGAAUGCUGCUUCUUUUCCAGGGUCCCUAAUUGGAUGGGGGAACUAAGUAACCUCAAAGAAUUGGAAAUCAAUGUCCGCAAGCCUGAUGUUGGCAUCCUGGCCGGAUUGCCUGCCCUCACUUUUCUCAGAAUAUACAUCAUCGAAUUUUUAAGGGACUGGUUUUUCAUCCACGCGAGAGAGUUCCCUGUUCUAAAACAUUUAGAACUCCGGUUGAGCAGCCCAUCGUACCUGGCCUUCCAGGCUGGUGCAAUGCCCAAGCUCCAGUGGCUCGGGCUGCAGUUCCGUGUUCGAGGGUGGAACCAGAACGUGCCUGGACCAGCUGGCCUCCACCACUUGUCAGCGCUUGAAGAUUUCUUCGCAAUAAUUCUGACCGAAGGUGCUACGGAGUAUGAGAAGACAUGUGCCGAGUCUGCCUUGAAGACUUCUAUCAAGUUGCGUCCCAACCAUCCUCGCCUUCACAUCCAAAGUUCGUGCGAUGAUGAUUUUAGGUUGGUGUCUUUCCCGUCUGAUGAGUCUGGUGGCGUGGCGGCGCCUCGGAACCGGGGUGCCUGA
Molecule: ribosomal RNA, 2892 nt
Filed under: Triticum aestivum (bread wheat)
Lineage: Eukaryota; Viridiplantae; Streptophyta; Magnoliopsida; Poales; Poaceae
Description: partial small subunit ribosomal RNA
Source: RNAcentral